RNAcentral lists this ribosomal RNA (401 nucleotides) under uncultured bacterium. RNAcentral's name for it is "bacterial SSU rRNA". It matches the Rfam family "Bacterial small subunit ribosomal RNA", at positions 362 to 777 of the family's 1533-position model. The record is from RNAcentral.
UAUUGGGCAAUGGGCGAAAGCCUGACCCAGCAACGCCGCGUGAAGGAAGAAGGUCUUCGGAUUGUAAACUUCUUUUAUGAGGGACGAAGGACGUGACGGUACCUCAUGAAUAAGCCACGGCUAACUACGUGCCAGCAGCCGCGGUAAUACGUAGGUGGCAAGCGUUAUCCGGAUUUACUGGGUGUAAAGGGCGCGUAGGCGGGGAUGCAAGUCAGAUGUGAAAUCUAUGGGCUUAACUCAUAAACUGCAUUUGAAACUGUAUCUCUUGAGUGCUGGAGAGGUAGACGGAAUUCCUUGUGUAGCGGUGAAAUGCGUAGAUAUAAGGAAGAACACCAGUGGCGAAGGCGGUCUACUGGACAGUAACUGACGCUGAGGCGCGAAAGCGUGGGGAGCAAACAGGA